RNAcentral lists this long non-coding RNA (806 nucleotides) under Mytilus galloprovincialis (Mediterranean mussel). Lineage: Eukaryota; Metazoa; Mollusca; Bivalvia; Mytilida; Mytilidae. The record is from RNAcentral.
AAACAUUGUUUCUAUAAAUUUAACAAAUAACAUACAAUUUCUAAAACAUAAUUUAAGAAAUCAUAAAACACUAUGUAAACUCUUAAAAUACUAAAAUGACAAAGUAAAAUACAAAAAUACUCAAACUGACCUUUUUAUAUGAAUUUAUCCUGCUGACAAUUAUAUGUCUGUAUAAUACAGUGGUCAGCGUGCGUGUGCCGCAAAGGUCCAAAUGCAAGAAAAAUUAUACUUUAACCACGUGAUGUUUUCCCGGGAAAAUUAUUUAAUGAAACAAUUAAAAUAAAAAUGAAUUUGAAUUUCAUAAUUAAUAAUCUCUUUUUAUCAAAAGGUUACUUUAAGUGUACAACAAAAAAUAAUAAUUUUAUAAAUAUUUAAUUUACUAUAAUGCAUCCGUUCUAAUUCUGGAAAAUCGUCUGCAAGUCUCAUAUUCCCUAAUCUACACAUGCUAAAGCAAUUAAAACUUGCAUACACCAUAAAAUUUGUUUGUUUACAGUGGAGCUAAUCCCGUGAAGCUAAUACAUGAUAUCUUCCACAAAAAUCUUAUCAUAUAUGAUUGUACACUUUAACCUACUACACAUAUAAUUGAAACAAUUUAUUUAUAUUUAUAUAUAUAAAACCAUAACCUUAAAACAUUAUUACAAAACAAAAUAGUUUACAAUUUCACUCAAAAAUAUUGACGUGCAAAUUACUAUUUUACACUCCCCUACUUUGUGUUGACGUCCACGACAACGCGUCUGACAAAAAUAAUCAAACUCAUUAACACCAAGAUAUGGUUUCCAAUAUCAAUUAAAUACAAACGAUUGACC